Long non-coding RNA from Oncorhynchus kisutch (coho salmon), 176 nucleotides. RefSeq lists it as uncharacterized. The transcript has 3 exons. The record is from RefSeq and is a predicted model, not a curated record. Lineage: Eukaryota; Metazoa; Chordata; Actinopteri; Salmoniformes; Salmonidae.
UGGCGCCAAAACAGGACCUAAACCUAAAUUUCAAGAAGGUGAAAGAGUUCUGUGUUUUCAUGGGCCAUUGCUUUACGAAGCAAAGGCAGUGAAAACCAAUAUCACGGAGAAGCAAAUUAAGUACUUCAUUCAUUACAGUGGAUGGAACAAAAAGUGAGUCAUUUUUGCCAUUGUUG